This 1509-nucleotide ribosomal RNA is filed under the name Candidatus Kaiserbacteria bacterium. RNAcentral's name for it is "partial 23S ribosomal RNA". The stretch from base 360 to 1509 matches the Rfam family "Eukaryotic large subunit ribosomal RNA", at positions 1 to 1151 of the family's 3401-position model. The record is from RNAcentral. Lineage: Bacteria; Candidatus Kaiseribacteriota.
UAUCCAAAACCAAAUUCUCAACGGUGGAUAUCUUGGUUCCCAUAACGAUGAAGAACGCAGCGAAGUGCGAUAAGCAAUGCGAAUUGCAGAACCGUGAGUCAUCAGAUUUUUGAACGCAACUGGCGCCGACUGGCUCUCUAGUCGGCAUGCUUGUUUCAGUGUCUUGUUUUCUCCUCACCCAAAUCAUAAUGCAAGAGAUACCCUUCUCUUGUUAAAUACGAAAGUACUCUGUACCCUGCAAGUGAGACUGAUUCGUUCGGUUUCACACUCAAUGCAGCAGUCACAUUUUCCAAUGUGAACUCAUUGAGAGUAGAGACAGCCAGCUUUGCUGAAAGUACUUAGAGAAUUAAACUUUUAUUGCAUCUGAAAUCAAGCAGGACCACCCGCUGAACUUAAGCAUAUCAUUAAGCGGAGGAAAAGAAAUUAACUAAGAUUGCCCUAGUAACGGCGAGUGAAGCGGCAAAAGCCCAAGCUGGAAAUCUUCACACUGCGUGUGACGAAUUGUAAUCUAAAGGAGAAGUGCUUACCUGUGAGUGGCGCAGAAGUUCCCUGGAAUGGGACGCCAGAGAGGGUGACAGUCCCGUAUGUGGUGCCACUCGCUACCGAGCACUCUUCAAUGAGUCGGGUAGUUUUGUAUUACUGCCCUAAGUGGGAGAUAGACUUCUUCCAAGGCUAAAUAUAUAUGGGAAACCGAUAGCGAACAAGUACUGUGAAGGAAAGAUGAAAAGAACUUUGAAAAGAGAGUCAAAAGACUUGAAAUCGUUGAGAAGGAAGCUGUAGAAAUUUAUUCUUCGGCUGGGGCCUAGUGUGGUUGUCUAAGCAUUGUACGCUGUUAGCACCGCAAGGGCUACUGUGUGCACCUGUGGAAACGUCCGCUUUGGUCCCAGUUGUGAGGCAAAAUGGGGUCUGGCUCCCACAAAAGUGGUUUAUCAGCCUUCGGGAGGUUAGGCUUACUGGUGGGGGCUGGGCCUGAGGGGCUUUUGCGAUUUUGCCAAAAUGGUUUUUACAGACCCGUCUUGAAACACGGACCAAGGAGUCUAACAAAUGUGCGAGUGUGCUGGUGGAGAAACCAACACGCGUAAUGAAAGUGAUUGAUGCCAAGCGCAAGCAGCAGCAUCGACCGACCAUGAUCCUUGUGUGAAAGGUUUGAGUAAGAGCAUAUCUGUUAGGACCCGAAAGAUGGUGAACUAUGCCUGAGUAGGGUGAAGCCAGGGGAAACUCUGGUGGAGGCUCGUAGCGUUUCUAACGUGCAAAUUGAUCGUCAAACUUGGGUAUAGGGGCGAAAGACUAAUCGAACCAUCUAGUAGCUGGUUCCCUCCGAAGUUUCCCUUAGGAUAGCUGGGACAAUUAUGCAGUUUUAUCAGGUAAAGCGAAUGAUUAGAGGCCUCGGGGGUAAAAUGCCCUCGACCUAUUCUCAAACUCUAAAUUGGUAAGAACUCUGGCCUUGCUUAAUUGAGGCACAGAGGUUCAAUGCAUGUCCCAAGUGGGCCAUUUUUGGUAAGCAGAACU